UUUAUUUUAUAUUCACGUGACACUACCGAAGUGUCAUUUUCUAUUGUUAGAACUAGCUGUGUAAUCUCGUUUUAAUAAUUAGGAACAUAAUUCGGAACCGGUUUUAGUAUUGUUUUAAAUUAGGUGUCUACAACCAUGACGUAUUAUGUUAUUUUAGUUACUGUGAAAUAUUUUCUUAUAGCCUGCUGGAUUGAAAAUGUAUUGAUAUAGCCUAGUUGUAUUAUAACGUUGUGGCAUUCAAAAGUAACCUUGAUAUGAAAAAAAGACAAAAGGACGACUGACUUUUUUUAAAACGUCUUUUAAAAGUAUGUGUAAGUAAUUAAAAAACAUUAAGGCCACCGAUUAAAAACAGCAGGAUAAUCCUUUUGGAAAUGUAAACAAACUAGACAACUAUAUGGCUCUUUUUCUCGUGAUAUUCUUCCCUUCCUUUCGGUCAAUGACGUAACAGUGUUCAAUGCUGGGUGUUUUUGGUUUUUGUGUGCGUCACAUCGAAACUAGCAUUGCCAAGCAGCAAAUAUGUUUUUAUCAUACGGGAGAUGGAAAAACAUGCCAUAAAACCUAUUUGUUAAGGGGUGGUAGUAAAACUAUACACGUUAAUGAUCCUAUCCCAUGCCCGGCCAUGUGCCACCGUUGUACAAAGUGCAAUAUUGAUCUCUUAUACAUUGCUGGUAAUACGGUCUUCUGUUAGUGCGGGCUUCUUCGGGCAACACACUGGGUUAUAAGGAGAUGCGCAAGUGGACUUUUGUAAUAACAAAUGUUUAUGUAUGUAUUAGGUUAUCAAUGCAUUCCAUACUUUGUGAUUCUCUCAUUUGUGUGUGUGUGUUUUGCUGUUGCAUACGUGACUGAUGCAAAUUAACAUGACUAACCCGUCACGGGACAUUUCUUGCGGUUCCUGUUUUUAUUUAUUUAUUUAUUUUUUUAAAUAGAGCUGUGUUUUUCCUGGAUGGCUGUCGCUGCCUGCAGUGUAGUGUGAAGUCCAAUCCUGGAAUAUAAAGUUUCUCAUUCGUGUGAAACACGUCCUUGAGGGUUGUAUGUUUUGCCAAGUAAACAUACUUUGUUGUCUAGUAUGGGAACGUCAAAUCUCUCUCUCUCUCUCUCUCUCUCUGCAUAGAAGUUUCACCCAUAACUGGUUUUACUGGGAGUUUAAGACACACCUGAGCUUGUUCGCUAUAGGUGCUAACCAUGCGCAAUGUAUUAUUAUUAUUAUUAUUAUUAUUAUUAUUAAGUGUAUUUAAUCAUUGUUAACAACUUUUACAACCCAGCAUACAAUGUUGUCAUUUGGGUAACAGACAGCGUUACGCUGAAGAAGGCACUUGUCGAAAUGUUUGUCUAUCUGAUUUAAGUGUGACCUUACGGGUCCUGCACACACACACACACACCAAGCUUACCCCUGCCAUUGAAGUAAUACACAGAUACGCACAUUGUUUCGAACGCUGUGUCACUCCACAUUCCGUUGCAGAAAUUCAGCCACGACUUGUAUGGGAGCCAUGGAAAAAAAAAAUAUUUAUUUCUGCCUUGUAUAUUAUUUAGACUAGGGGUCUCAAACCCUGUUCCAGGAGAGCUACUGUGGCUGCUGGUUUUCGUUUCAACCAAUCUCUGUUAAUUAAUUGAACCAAUUAUUGGCUUCAUUAGUCCAGAUUAACAAGUAUUCCAGAUAUUUAGCCACUGGUGAUGUAAAUACACCUAUAAAACCUGCUGGAUAGUGGCUCUCCAGGACCAGGGUUGGGAGACGCCUGAUUUAGACAGUCACCCCUUGCACGUCAGGAUUAAGUGUGAAGUACGGUUCUCACAUUACAAUCCCUUUUGUGAGUGUGCGGUUUUCUGAAAAUCAACGUUGGAGAAGCAAAUCCAAAAUAAAGUGAUCGGUGUUCCACUGCAGAUCUGUACCACACGCAGGAUACCAAUAAAAUGAAGAGAAGCCAAAACAAACACCUGCCAUAACACUGUCAAUAGGGCGUGGGUGGGGUCUGCAAUGAGGGACUUGCAAACAGGUAGAUGCAUCACAGAAUGCACGUCAAGGAUGUCGUUUGCCUAACACUCAUUAGAGCCAUGGAAAUAAGAUUCGUGUUGGAGUAGUGAUUUCACCCAUUCUAGGUUUUACUACGAGCUUGAUCAGUGUGUGUGGGUAACAAGCUCAGGUAUCUUAUUAAACCCCUAGUAAAACCAGGAAAGGACCAAACUGCUAUGUAAUGGGAGUCUUAUUGCCAUCCCUGCAUAUUUUCCCCAGUUUACGCAAAAGUCUGUGCUAUUUAGUUUAAGUAAAUCAUUUGUAAAUUGCUAGUAUCACAACUCCAAUCAUAAUUACAUAUGUAUCAACUUCACCAAUAUACAUUUUAAUGGGAUCGUGUCUGUAUAACUUUUUUUGAUCAUAUAUAAAAGCAGCUGGUUUGGUAUUGCUUGAACAGCAAAGGCAAUGCUAUUUUUGAUCACAACACGCAGUUGAUUGAAUUAACCGGCGAUUCUAGCAAGCAGUUUUCACUGUAUGGUUGGUUUUAAUCCACAGAAAAACCCUUAAGAGCCCAGGUGGUUGCUACAUUGGAAAAGGUUGCUUUUAAACUGGUUUCUGACUUCUGCUUUGGGUCUAGUUUGCAUUAUGCUACUGUAUAGUCUCUAGAGAAAUGAUUCAAUUCAGAACAAUACGUCUGGGUGUAUAUGUUGAGAACGACAAACGCUGCCCAGCUAUGCAUUUGUGGCACUCGUUAGGGUAAGGUCCUCCUCUGUGAGCAAAAGCAAGUGUUUGGUUCCCUUAUAAAAGUUUACCCCAGUAUAGUUAGCAGUUUUCAUUGUUAUACUGUGCCUUUACCAUACUUUACAAUGUUUAUUCUAGGCUUUAUUACACUUUACCAUGGUAAACCUUCUAAAGGGUUAGUCUGAUAACAUGGUUUGUUUUUUUAAUGUGGGGAGACGUUGAUAAGGGUUCUAUAGCUAUUUAAAAAAGAAAGUUGUAUUACAAAUGCAUUAUUUUGCACACAUAUAAUAAUUCACAGUAGAUUUUAAAUACCUUGUAGGAAUACAAAUUUAAUUCACUUUACAUGCAAAUGCAAACAAAUAGUAAAAUAGAAUCUUUGAAUCUGCCCGGGUUUAAAUAGUCAAAUUAAAACAAAUUCUGCACUUUGAAAUAUUAUUGUUAUUUCACCUUUGGAAGUACCACAGGGGUAUAUUUGCAAAAUUUGUCUACUGCCACGUUCAAAUUCUGUACUAUAGUUAACUUUUACCAUAUAGGUAAUUGAAUAUUGCUAAACACACUCUGUACUAUGCAAUCCACUACAGCAAAGCUUAUGUGUUGCUUUAUUGUCCUCACAAUAGGUGUAUUGUUGAAAGCUAAACCACUGCCCGUAAGCCGACAACUUUCUGAACACUUCCUGGAGUACCUAAAACCACAACAGAUGAAAAAAAAAAAAAAGAUCAUGCAAAACAACCUGCAAAUAAUUCUCCCCCAUUCAUGACCUCGAGCACGUAGAUCCAUUUCAAAAGGAAGGCAAAUGAAAUGUUCCUGUCCAGUAGCUUUUUAUAUACAAAGACCCAGGUUACAUGCACUGAAAUGACAAAGGACACUCGAUACUGCCCGUGUAGCACUUUAGUCCCCCCUGCUUAAAGAGAAGAGAGUCACUGUGCUGUGGGCAGUCAGUCUGUUGCAGUGUUCAGAAACCUAAAGCUCUGGAGCAGGGAGCAGUAUACAGUAUGUUAAAUAAAAAGACAAAAGGCAUGUGUUUAGUUGAAUGCUACCCGGGCAAAAUCUAUCUUUACAGCCUUGUACAUUUAAACCAGAUGUACAUUCCUCUUUCCUCAGUUCAGUGUUGCAUUACAGUAAUGCUGUUUGCAUGUCGUCAUUCUACUCUUUCAGUGUACUGGAGCUUGUUGAAAAUGCAGCAGCAAUGGUUUUAAACUUGUUCUGAACCGUGCUUUAUUGCACGUUGCUAUGCUUUUUACUUUGGGAAACUUUUAUAAAAAGGGUUCUUGCAGAAUUUUUUUUCCUAUUGCUUUACAAAUGCACGGUUUUGCAUGAGUAAAUCAAUUCAAAAGGAAGUUUGCGAUUUUAAAAAUUAAUUUAGAAUCUUGAAUGUGCCCGUGGAAAAUAAAUAUUUGUGCCUGAUCUUUGAGCCCUCAGCUCUAUUUACACAGUGAGAUAAGCAGCAGGAGACAGGUUGUUAAAACUAUGCAGCAAGUGCAAAAAAAAGAGAGAGUCAGGGUAGACUGGAGGAAGGGAGGCGGUGAAGUGGCAGGUUACAGGUCAGUUCAGCUCUUGCAAACAAGCCGGAACAAUAACCCCACCGAGGAUCUGAGAAUGGAGGCGGAGAGCGUGGAAGUGCCCAGAGCUGGGUUAACCCAGGCAGGCUGUCCUCUCUCGCCACCUCUUCCCCUUCUCUCCCCUUCUCCCGCACACCCUGCUUCCCUGCCCGAGAUCCACAGCAAUAUCCCUGCGAAACAGAUUGAGGAAGGAGACUCUUGUUGCUGCACUGUCAGCAUCUCUUCUGUGGAGAAACGUAUUCAGCAGGAGCAAAAGUGGCAGCUUUGGCACGAGUUCAUACACGCCUACUCCCGGUUCAACGACUGGCUGCGAUUGGCCGAGAGCAUGGCUUCUUCACCAAACUCCGCCCACGUGCUUUACAUCACUGCGAAGAAGGAGCUGAAGCAGUUUGAGGUGUUGCAGAGGGAGAUCCAGGCUCGUUUGUUGGAGCUGGAGUCCCUGAUCCUGCAGUACUGCCGGCUGGCGAAAGGGACGGGGCUGGGGGAGAGUGGCCGGCUCCACGGGAUAAUACAGGACGUCAGCCUGCGCUGGGACGACCUCAACAAACGUACCGCCAGCAUCUGCCGCAGGCUCCAGCACUUUGUGAGGCAGCGCGAGGAGUUGGACAGCGAGCAGGAGAACAUUGCAGUCGGGCUCGCAGAGAUGGACCUGAGGCUGACUGAAGUGGAGCAUUCCUCAGGGUGCAACGUGGCCGACAAGAUGGAACAGCUGCAGGCAUUCCAUCAGGCUGUGUAUGAGAACACGGAGCGGAUGAACAGGCUCCUAGUUGAAGGGGAGCGGUCGAUCCAGCGCAGCGAGCCGCAAGACGCAGUUGAGAUCGAGGACUCCCUGCAGGAGCUGUUGCUGUACUGCACACAGGUCUUUGAGGGGGUGGGGCAUCUAUACACACGCCUGCUGAGCCUGAGACUGGUGUUUGAGGAUGGCUGGAUGUCGGGGUCAAACUGCCUCUCGGUCCUCUGGGAGGACGAGGGGAUCUACGACCGGAGCAGCCCCUGUGACCGCACUGGUUCCAGACGGGACUCUCUGCCCCUGGAGUGGGACCCCUCCGUCGAUGUGGGGGAAUCCACCUCACACGACGAUACGGACUCCUCCUACUUCAGCACCAUCACAGGUUUGCACCAUUUCGAAGUCUUAUCGGAAGAGCCUUCCACCAAGAGAAGCAGCUCUCUGAGCUCCCUGCGUUUUCAUAUGGAGACUGACCCUGCAGAGAAUAGCAGCGUGGAGUGGAGAGACACCAGACAGCCCGUCUUGACUGUGGUUCCAGGCGCUCUGGUUUUAGGUGUGUCGAGUGAAGUGUGCAGUUCCUCCAGAUCCUUCGUGUCUGCUGGACACUGCCCUGCAACUGAACCAUUCACCUUUGACCCAGAACGCAUCUGCGCCUGGCUGGGCCAGACAGAACCUGUUCUAGAACACACCCGGAACUUUUCAGAGGAGACGGACGGCAGGGCAGACCAUGGAAAACAAGAGGCUCUUUGGGAUCAGUGUCUCCCUCCUCGAGACACAGGGGUGUGUUCUGUAGAAGCCCGGUCUUUGCUGCUGAACCCUGGUGCCUUCAGUUCCGUUCCUGUGUGGAGUAGAAGAAAGCCCAAAAAUCAGUUUCGAAAAAAGAAACAAAGUUUUCCUCACCAAUCGCAAGCCAGGACCGAGCACAAAUCUGAAGAGAUCGACCCCGCGAGGUCCAGACGUCUCCUGUGGGUUCUGAAGACAUCCCUGUCCUACCGCCUGGUCAGAGUCGCGCUUUUAGUCUCCAUCCUGCUGGGUGUUCUGGGGGUCAUCAGCCAGAUCCUGGUCAGUUGGAAGUACUUCAGCAGUCAUCACACCAACAACUUUGCCCGCUCUCUCCCCGUAAUGCUCCACUACGUCAACGGACCACCCCCGACAUGAAACCAGAGAGGAAGGAGGAUCCCAGGGGGUUCACCCUCAGGGAACAUCUACGGUUCCGAUAGCUUGAGAGUUUAUGGCUUUACAUAAAACUCUGGAAAACCCUUUCAAGCAAAUUGUCACAAAUCCACUCCUGGAAUAUCUUUCCUUUUAAAUAUGAUUUGACAAUAUAUACACAACUGCCCAGCAGAACUCCAUCCCCCAUCCUCGCACGGACAGUGACAGUUACUUGAUGAGAAUCCAAUGCGAAGGUCACAGGAGACAGGCGUGUUUUAAAAUCCUGGACUGCAGGGGAAAAAUACACAUGUCAGUACAGAGCUGUGAAUAUAUUCUAUUAUAUUGCCAGGGAAAUAUUGGUAGGUUCAAUUAGUUCAUAAAAUAAUUACUCAAAAGUGAUCCACACAGGUGAUCUGUGACUUGUGUUGGGCUGUGCACUGAAGAUGUAACCGGCAGUAAGCAGUCCCAGUUUGAUACUGGGAACUUUUCUUUGACUGGUUUCAUGGUGCAGAUGGAAAAAUCACUCAUGCUACCACAGAACCAUUGUGUUCAAUAUUGUCAUCCUUUUUAAACACCAUCUUCUGUAUCGCUUUUGCUUCUAGAACCCGUGUGUUUAAGUUUCCCCUGCAGGUUUUAGCAAAGGGGACACAGGUCAUCCGUCAUGCUACCCCAUGCCCACCAACAACUUAGAGUCCCCCAUGGUCUCCCAAACCUGCCCUGGGCGCCAGGGAGCCCCCUUUCUCUUAGCGGAGUGACCACACCACCUUCCAACCAUCAAUUCAAAAGCCUGCCCUGGAGGGAGCCCCCUUUCUCUUAGUAGAGUGACCACACUACCUUCAAACCAUCAAUUCAAAAGCCUGUCCUGGGCUGGAGGGAGCCCCCUUUCUCUUAGCGGAGUGACCACACCACCUUCCAACCAUCAAUUCAAAAGACUAUCUUCAGUCCAAUUCUGAUCAAGCAACCACUAAAAAAACAACUUUCUGUGCCACAGCAGGUGCUGUGGAACAUUGUCCAUCGGAAUAUGAAUAUCACUGCACGAUGAAUCGGGGGAUCUGACUUUCUACAAACAUGCUGGUUCGGAGCCCUGUCUGUGCAAUCCAAUUUGCACCCCAGCCAUUUACAAUUACAGACCGAUCUUAAUCAACCACUAUUAAAAUCAGGGGCAUUUUUUGUACCUUGCCCUUUUAAGAAUGCCAAUAUAGACAACAAGCCCCUUUUAAGAACGUUAAUUAGCCCCUGUAUAAAAGGGUAAGGUUGGGGAAACGAUUUCUUCCCGGGACAGCAUGUGUUUUUGAAACAUUCGCUGCGUUUGCUAUUGGUAAGUGGCACGUGCGCGUUACUCUGUUUAAAUGCGUGUGGUUUUACAAAGUGCAAUUUGAUUAUUACUCGUUGUCUGGUUGUUCUACUUCAGCUUUAUAAUAACGCGUUUGUUUUAAAAGGUGCGAUUACUCGCCGCUCGCUUUAUUAUUGUUUUUAUUUAAUUUUUUUUAAUCGUCUCUUCCACAAAAAGAGGACGCUGUUAUAGCCGGUAGAGUUUGUGUACGUUACUUUAGAGUAAGCUAAUGGCAUAUUAACUUUUUUAUGUGCAUGGUGUUAAGUGCUAAACCACGCUACUUGCCGUCCACGUUAUAAUUUCUUUCUUCCCGAUAGAAAUAUCCAGUCGAUGGUUUGGGGCGUCGUAUUGUUUUUACGUAACGCUAACAUGAUUUUAAAUUAAACGUAGUUGGUCUUUUAAGGACUUGCAAUAUUUUAACGGGUUUGCGACGGUGAGCAAACAGUUUUUCACCUUAUUCUUUUUCAAAACCUAUUUUUAAAAUGUUUCACAAAAUGUUCGGCUUUAUAUCGCCAUUGCAAUUUUAUGUUUGUGUAGUUUAUACUUUUUUAUAUAUAAACACUCACGUUUGUUUUGAGAUUAAUUUAAUUAACAGGUAUUUAAUUAAUUUGAUAAUUGGCUUGCAUCCAAUACGAUCUAAUCUCAA
RNA transcript from Acipenser ruthenus (sterlet), 8106 nucleotides. It is a transcript of the gene named nesprin-2-like, with no coding region annotated. Lineage: Eukaryota; Metazoa; Chordata; Actinopteri; Acipenseriformes; Acipenseridae. The record is from RefSeq and is a predicted model, not a curated record. The transcript has 18 exons.